Molecule: ribosomal RNA, 468 nt
Filed under: uncultured bacterium
Lineage: Bacteria
Description: partial 16S ribosomal RNA
Rfam family: Bacterial small subunit ribosomal RNA
Source: RNAcentral
GACGAACGCUGGCGGCGUGCUUAACACAUGCAAGUCGAACGGAAAGGCCCUGCUUUUGUGGGGUGCUCGAGUGGCGAACGGGUGAGUAACACGUGAGUAACCUGCCCUUGACUUUGGGAUAACUUCAGGAAACUGGGGCUAAUACCGGAUAGGAGCUCCUGCUGCAUGGUGGGGGUUGGUAAGUUUCGGCGGUUGGGGAUGGACUCGCGGCUUAUCAGCUUGUUGGUGGGGUAGUGGCUUACCAAGGCUUUGACGGGUAGCCGGCCUGAGCGGGUGACCGGCCACAUUGGGACUGAGAUACGGCCCAGACUCCUACGGGAGGCAGCAGUGGGGAAUAUUGCACAAUGGGCGGAAGCCUGAUGCGGCAACGCCGCGUGCGGGAUGACGGCCUUCGGGUUGUAAACCGCUUUCGCCUGUGACGAAGCGUGAGUGACGGUAAUGGGUAAAGAAGCACCGGCUAACUACGUG